This 253-nucleotide ribosomal RNA is filed under the name uncultured bacterium. RNAcentral describes it as "partial 16S ribosomal RNA". It matches the Rfam family "Bacterial small subunit ribosomal RNA", at positions 524 to 776 of the family's 1533-position model. The record is from RNAcentral.
UACAUGUGGGGCAAGCGUUGUCCGGAAUUACUGGGCGUAAAGGGCGCGUAGGCGGCCUUCUAAGUCAGACGUGAAAUCCCCAGGCUUAACUUGGGAACUGCGUCUGAUACUGGGAGGCUUGAGUGCGGGAGAGGGAUGUGGAAUUCCAGGUGUAGCGGUGAAAUGCGUAGAUAUCUGGAGGAACACCGGUGGCGAAGGCGGCAUCCUGGACCGACACUGACGCUGAGGCGCGAAAGCCAGGGGAGCAAACGGG